Canis lupus familiaris (dog) is the source of this 3786-nucleotide long non-coding RNA. RefSeq lists it as uncharacterized. Lineage: Eukaryota; Metazoa; Chordata; Mammalia; Carnivora; Canidae. The transcript has 6 exons. The record is from RefSeq and is a predicted model, not a curated record.
CCCCCUCUGCCUGUGUCUCUGCCUCUCUCUCUCUGUGUCUCUCAUGAAUAAAUGAAUAAAUUCUUAAAAAAAAAAAAAAGGACACCAGGGAGCUGGAGGCAGCGCUGCACCAGGCCUCAAGCCUCCUGGGUGCUGACCAGGGCAGCUCCUUGCACCUUGCCGCCCCCACCACCCCCAGGGGCAUUUUGAGCACAGCUGCCCUUUCUUCCCCGCAUGGCCUGUUCAGGGAUCGGUGCAAGAGGAGCGGUCCCGGCUGCCGAUGGCCCUGUGUCCUUCCCGUGAGCACAGCAGCCCGGGCCCCAGUGGCGUGGCUCCUCCCUGUAGCCUGGAGAGGAACGUCUGCCCCCACGCCCUGCUCCCUGCCAAGCCAGCCCAGAUCAGCGGCAGACUCGAGUGGGGGCCAAGGACCAGCCUUGUGGCCGCAGCCCUGUGGCAGGGUGGCCGGGGUCCCUGCCCCAGCUGCCAGCAGAGCCGCUGCUUCAGGACGGGGCCCGGAACCCCCUGCCCCGGGUCUCGCCGAAGCCGCACCUGGAGGCUCGUUCCCUGGUCCAGGCUCUCCUUUCUGCUCCCCCUGCGACACCCAAAGCCAAUCAGGAGACCAGGGUGAAGCAAGUCAUUGCUCCCCUGUGGGUGCAGGGCUGCUCCAUCCCCGUCAGCUCCGCGGCGCCCCCGAGUCCCGCCCGGGCCAGCCUGGGUGCACCGGCCAGCCGCGCCGCUCGGGUGCACGGACACCCUACCACUUGAGCAGGAGAUCGGGCGGAGGGAGUUGCUCCCCGGACCAGAGGGUGGGAGAAGCGACUGUUUUAGGGGCUCCGUUUCUGGAAUGCCACACCGGCACAGAUUCCCCUCCCAGGCCUUCCCCUCUGCCCCCAAAGACCCUCAAGACCCUGCUCUCUGCUCCCCACUCUCAGGCAUAUCCAGGCCCGCGUCCACCUGCCUGCGCCCUCCGUGGCCGUCCUCACCCAUGCUCGGCACGGAGAGGCCUGACUUCCCGUCGCCGGCUCUCUCAGGUGUGGCUGUGUGUCCUGAGACGGGCGCUAAGCCUCUCUGGGUCUUGUUUCUCCCCGGCUCAGGGACGAGGAUGCAGGGACCUGGGGCAGGUGGCAGGUACCAGCUACUCAAAGUUAGCAGCUGUGUUUUUGUUACUGGCGACCAGAGGGGUGGCUCAUGGGGCCCCUUCCAAAGCCCACGCCUGGCCUAGAUUCUCCGUGGCCAGCCAGAUGGGAGAGGACAAGGAUCGAUCCACAAACAUCGAUUGAACCAAUUUGGGGCCAAGCCGUGUUGCGGGCAGACAGCAGCUGGCAGAGUGCCUGGCCCGUGAGACGUGUCCAAAAAAGUAAGUGUGGAGAGAGGGAAGGGGUGGCGCUGUGAGCGUGGACGGCGCACGUCUCCGGCCCCCCAGGAACUUACGGUCUCACCAGGACCCCGAAGUGGGUUCUGACUCCGGCUCUGCCUCUGGCGGCUCCGGGCCUUCUUGUUUGUCUCUCAGUCACAUCGGGAGCUCUGUGACCUUGAAGACCAUUUCCUGCUGGGAUAUUAAUACCACCACUAAUAAUAACGGUCGCCGUCGAGGCCGGAGCUCCCAGACUAAUAUUAGCUGCACCUGUUGAGCGAUCGGCACGUGCCAGGCCCUCUGCACAUGUUCUGACGUCAUUCCCCGCGAGCCCUCCCCUGCUCCCUGAGCUGGACUCAUCAUCCCCUGUUGACAACCCAGGGAUGGACGCUCUGUGCCUGCCCAGGGUCCUGGAGCCGGAACAGGGCUCACGGCCGUGUCGGUCAGGGCUUGGAGGAUGGCAAAGACCGGAGGGCAACUCUGGGGUUCCCUUCUUCUUCUCUCCAUAUCCGCCCUGCACCCCAGCCCUGGUCCUCAUGGAUGCAGCUGCUAUACCAUUACGUCCUCUGGGAUUCUCUCCGGAUCUCCUUUCUGGCUCUCCUCUGCCCCUUUUUGCUUCCUGCUUUCCGACCCAAGGUCUGCAGCCUGGGGCCUCUCUCGGCCCCUGCCAGGCCCCCUGCCCUGGCCCCCGGCCCCCAUCUGCCUUUGUUCCUGCGGCCUGAUGGUCAGACCCCCCCCCCCCCCACCGCCCCUCGUCUGUUCAGCUGCAGACCAGGGGCACUCUCUCUUCAACCUGGAGUCCUCAAACUCGGCCUCGAGGCCCUGUUGCACUAUUAAAAUUAUCAGAGACUUGAAAGAGCUUCUGUUUAUGUGGUUGUAGCUACGGAUAUUUACCGUAUUAGAAAUUAAAGCUGAGAAAUCGUAAAAUACUUAUUCUCGGAGAACAAGACCAAACCACUGCAUAUUAGCAUCAUACAUUUUCAUGAAAAAUAGCUAUUUUCUAAAACGAAAGGAACAUCACUUUACGUUUUGCAGAUCGCUUUAAUGACUCACCUCAGAGAAGACAGCUGGGUUCUCAUGUCUGCUUUUGGAUUUAAUUUGUCGAUACCUCUGGAAAACCUCUCUGUGCAUUUGUUUACGAAAGAAAGAGAGUACACAAGGCAAACAAUGCCUUCUCACUUUGCAGGGCCUCUGGAAGAACCGGUGUCCUAGACUGUCCCUGAUGUGGCCCUUGCGGGGACUCCUCUCGGCUGGCUCCUCCUCAACCUGACAGAUGCCGGAGGAUCCCGGCAGCCGGCCGAGGGCAGGACACGGGAUCUAAGAGUGCGGUGAUUCUUGCAGAUGGAGCUGGAUCCGUGGGACCUGGGAGAGCCAGUGGGGCUUCUAGUAGCUUCCUGAGGACACAGGAGGCUGACGCUCUACAGGGCGGUGUGAUCUUCUGGACCUAAGGAAGCCAUUGCAGCUUGUAAGAGAGCCCAGACUGACCGCUCCGAGCAGGGUGGGCCUGCUCAGGCCUGCUCCAGGGUCAGUGCCCUCGCGGAUGGAGGCUCUGCAGCCAGCUGCUCAUUAUCUGUGGCUCCUCUGAGGGUACCUUGCCAGCUCCCAAACAGGAAACAUGUCCAGAAAGCUGUAAUUAGAGCCAGGAGCCACAGGCCCAAGAGGUGCCUGCUGCAGCUUCAAGUGCAGACAUGCUGCUUUGGUUAAGUCCCCGGGAGAGAACCCAAACCCUGGAAAGGAGGAAGCAUCCGCUGUUGUGCAGGAGAGGAGCCCAGAGGCCCUGAAAUGUCGCAUGACUCACUCAAGGUCAUCCUGCCAAAGCAGAGGUGCACAGAAUUUCAGGAGGCCCUCUGUCUCAGGACCGCGCAGCCUGGCUGGGCCCGCAGCAUCUCGGUGAAGCAGGCGGGCAACCGGCCGCAGUGAGGAAGAGACAGAGCUGGGAUUUGAACUGGGCUCUGUCUGAGUCUAAGCUCCUGUGUCCUUCUGAUCUUCCCACCCAGGAAGACCGCGCUCAAGAGGAUCGGGUGACCUGCCUGAGACCACAGUCACCACGCAGGCAGGCAGGGAGACCCAGGCUUCUCUCUCAGCAUCGCCUCCACGGGCGUGAGCAUCCCUGUUUCCUGAGGGCCACACUGGUGCCCUCUCGGGGUAGGGGGCAUGCCUAGGGAGCCGGGGUGUGCCGGCCACCGCACUAAGCUGUCACUUCCUCGAGGCCGGGGCUUUCUGUGCGCCCCCACUCCCAGCUCAGAGCCUGGAGACUGCCUGGGGUACUGACACCUGGGACAGGCUCGUUGAUCGAAUCAAUGAAGGAGUGAGUGAGUGACUCCAGGGGAUGAGGAGUGACCCGGUAAGGAGGCCAGGUGAGCACUGAAGGCCCCAGGUGAGCGGAGCACUGCCUUUCACCUGGCUGGCUCUCUGUUUAUUUAUUCCAGGGGAAAAAAAAAAUAAAAAUAGAA